AAAAAGACAAACUAAGAUUUCGUGUCUAACGUUUGACUGUCUAUUUUAUAUAAUUUUUUAUAAGUAUUUUCAUUGUUGUUAGAUGAUAAAACAUGAUUAAUACUUUAUGUGUGACUUGUCUUUUUUAAUUUUUUUCAUAUUUUUUUUAAAUAAGACGGACGGUCAAACGUUGAACACGAAAAUCUAGUGUUUGUUUUAUU
Non-coding RNA from Oryza barthii, 200 nucleotides. Lineage: Eukaryota; Viridiplantae; Streptophyta; Magnoliopsida; Poales; Poaceae. The record is from Rfam.